GACGAACGCUGGCGGCGUGCUUAACACAUGCAAGUCGAACGGAAAGGCCCUGCUUUUGUGGGGUGCUCGAGUGGCGAACGGGUGAGUAACACGUGAGUAACCUGCCCUUGACUUUGGGAUAACUUCAGGAAACUGGGGCUAAUACCGGAUAGGAGCUCCUGCUGCAUGGUGGGGGUUGGAAAGUUUCGGCGGUUGGGGAUGGACUCGCGGCUUAUCAGCUUGUUGGUGGGGUAGUGGCUUACCAAGGCUUUGACGGGUAGCCGGCCUGAGAGGGUGACCGGCCACAUUGGGACUGAGAUACGGCCCAGACUCCUACGGGAGGCAGCAGUGGGGAAUAUUGCACAAUGGGCGGAAGCCUGAUGCAGCAACGCCGCGUGCGGGAUGACGGCCUUCGGGUUGUAAACCGCUUUCGCCUGUGACGAAGCGUGAGUGACGGUGAUGGGUAAAGAAGCACCGGCUAACUACG
This 466-nucleotide ribosomal RNA is filed under the name uncultured bacterium. Its description in RNAcentral is "partial 16S ribosomal RNA". It matches the Rfam family "Bacterial small subunit ribosomal RNA", at positions 28 to 505 of the family's 1533-position model. The record is from RNAcentral.